This 253-nucleotide ribosomal RNA is filed under the name uncultured bacterium. RNAcentral describes it as "partial 16S ribosomal RNA". It matches the Rfam family "Bacterial small subunit ribosomal RNA", at positions 524 to 776 of the family's 1533-position model. The record is from RNAcentral.
UACAGAGGUCUCAAGCGUUGUCCGGAAUCAUUGGGCGUAAAGAGCGUGUAGGCGGCCAGAUAAGUCCGCUGUGAAAUCUCGAGGCUCAACUUCGAGCUGUCGGUGGAAACUGUCUGGCUAGAGUCCGGAAGAGGAGAAUGGAAUUCCUGGUGUAGCGGUGAAAUGCGCAGAUAUCAGGAAGAACACCCGUGGCGAAGGCGGUUCUCUGGGACGGUACUGACGCUGAGACGCGAAAGCGUGGGGAGCGAACAGG